Polypterus senegalus (gray bichir) is the source of this 2749-nucleotide long non-coding RNA. RefSeq lists it as uncharacterized. Lineage: Eukaryota; Metazoa; Chordata; Cladistia; Polypteriformes; Polypteridae. The record is from RefSeq and is a predicted model, not a curated record. The transcript is spliced from 2 exons.
CUUCCAAUUGCCAGUGUAGAUUCCUAGCCUCAGAGCCACCAUAAUCUAAUUACAUGUGUAUUUAUCUAUCUAUGGAUGUCAUAAAAAGAAUGAAACAGAGAAAUCUAAAAAGGCUGGAGUCCAGUCCCAAAGGGAAAAUCUGUUUAAUAGCAUUGACACUGUAGGAGGUGGAGAAUGUAAUAGGACCAGGGAUGAGUGCCACAUCAAAGUAAUUGGAGCCUUCUUUCUUUGCAGAGUUUAGACAGGUAGGGUAAGUUUGUGAUUGAUGUCCUUCAAUACCAGAGUUCCAGAGGAAUGUGGAACAGACUGGAAUGAUGGGAGGAGUGAGCCAGAGCUUAGUGAUUUUACCUGAAGUUGACAACUUCUGAGCGGUUGAGCAAGUAAAGUAAUUCAUGAUUCUUCUAAUGAACCUUUUAUGUUACUCACUGUAGGAAUAAUCAAAGAAACGUGCCCAAGUUUGUAAUGUCUGAGAUUUGGUAUAAUUCAUGUUAGAAUGUUUUGAGUUUGUUUUUCUUGUUUUAAUUUUUUCAUAAUUCUGCUGACGCCAUUUUGUUUAUUUUUAAUACCGUCUCUGCCAUUUUGGGAGGAAUUUUGAUGGCAGUGGUCAUGUUUAUACUUUGCUAUGCCUGUUGCUGGUCAUACAGAAAUCAUGUGGUGUACUGUGUCAUCAUGUACCACAUGUUUAAGAUGGUGAUGUGACUCCCUAGACAUUCUUGCUUUGCAUCUCUUACUUUAUUCUGCUUUCUUACUAUAGAACUGUGAAAAAUAAAUGGUGCUUUUGAGAAGACUUUAUGGAAGGACUUUUGGUCGGUGCUGUAUUUUGAGUUAAAUUCUGUUAUUUUUGUCUUGGGUUUCAUCAUUCCAUUUCUCUUUCAGUGCCCCAGUAACUCUUACACAGUGCUGAUCAAUUCAUUAGACAUCAUAGGUGACCAGCAAGGGUGCAGUUUCUGAAAGUUAAGAAGUGUGGACUCUGGACACCAACGGACAGUGUUUAUGUAACUCCAGUGACAUGGACUUCCAUAAUCCAUCCCCCCAGUGCAUUGUGGACAACAAAACACCAAGGGCCGUCAUUUUGGUAACUCGGGGUUACUCUGAACAUCAAAGGAGGGGGUCUUCAAAGUCUAAUGAUAUUGAAUGCGCAUAUGGAAACCAAAGGGUGCUCAGGACCUUUUGUCAACAUUAAGUAUAUAAAGCAUGUUUGUGUGUGUCUAUGUGUGUAUACAAAGUGGACACAAUCCCCUUUUAAUAUAAAGGUUACUAGAAGAUUAAGAAAGUAAAAGGGACCAUCGUGAUCCAUGAAAUUGUUGAUUAAGUAGCUUAUUAGGACACAGUACUGGCCUCUUCAGAUGUGGGCCUGAGAAUUAAAGCAGACUUCUGGAUUGCCUUGCUCUUAUAUAGCAGACUGACAGGACAGGGAGACGGGCUCACAGCAUCCCAGAGGGUGCCGACAGAGGUUGCAGGGAUGGGGGGCUGCAUUCACCAGUGUCAAAGCUCUGCUGAGUAUGCUUGUUGAAUGAGCAGGGUGUGAUGGGACAGAGUCUGACUGAAGGAAACCGAUUCUGACUGCUUUUAUCAUAGAUUUUGAGUAUUAAUUGGAUUUUUAACUUCCUGCAUUGCAGUGUUUCUUUUAUGAAUAAUUUAUUGAAGAUGUUAUUUAACCACUGCAUGUUGGACAUUGUUUGUCUUAAACUAAAUGCACUAUGCACUUGCUGUUUGUGUCCUCAUUCGCCAUAGUUUAUCUAAGUUAUGAGAUACAAUUACGGAAUAUGGAAGAAGCUAAUGGUUAAAGACACAUGGGGCAUCACACAUAGACACAUAAUGUUUUUGAAAUGUCAUCUCAGUAGAAAACAAAUCUAAAAUAUACUUUAACAGAUGUCAAAAUUGCUUACCUGCACUUAUCAUUCAACAUACCAAUCAAUACAGCUAGCUCUGGCACUUAACAAAGGAGUAAUCUCCCACUUCUACUUCACAAAAACCUCUCAAUUUCUUCAUUUGAGGAGUUAAUGAAAAAUGUUGUCUAUGCUGAGCAAAUCUGUGACUUGAGGUAUGAAUGAGAGAGAAUCAUCACAGCAAUUGCAGACAUCACACUAGGCACGGCUGACAGGACUUGAAUAGAAAUAAAGCAUCAUGUUGAUGUCUGUGAUAGUGAAAAUAGUGUUAACAUUCUUUUAGCAUUCUUUUUCCUUUCCAUUCAGAAUAUUUAAUUUGGAAUUUUCUAAGAUAAAAAUUUUGAAAUGGUUCGAUUCUCUUUAUUGGUGUUACUUUUUCAUUAUGUUUAUCCCUUAAAAUUACAGUUGUAGUGUGUGUUUAAACUUGUCUUUUAUUGACCUCUUUUCAGAAUCUGUAUUUUUCUCCCCCAACUUAUUACAGCAAUGACCUUGACCAAUGCAAGAAUGGGAAAGUCAAAGAAAUAUGGUGCCGGAUAUCAUUUUCUACUGUACUUCUAUUUUAGCUGGAUUGCCUGACACCUCAGCAGCCCAGCUGAACAGAGACUGAGUGUACAAUAUUGGUAUUUAGAUGGAAAUGCUGCAAUAAAAAGAAGAUCAGCUAUAACAUACAGCAUGAUGGCUGACUUGAUGACCUUCAUCUACUGCAGUUUGGAAGAAAACAAAAGGAAACUUUGGGGCCCUAUUUUAAGCAUUAUACUUUACCAACAAACAUUUUUGAUUAUGUCUGAAAAUUACAUUUUGGAGCAGAUAAGUUAUAUUUUCUUGACAAGCUGUGAUGACAAUAAAAUUUUAUUACUAUG